This 393-nucleotide ribosomal RNA is filed under the name uncultured bacterium. RNAcentral's name for it is "partial 16S ribosomal RNA". It matches the Rfam family "Bacterial small subunit ribosomal RNA", at positions 523 to 918 of the family's 1533-position model. The record is from RNAcentral.
AUACGUAGGUGGCGAGCGUUAUCCGGAAUUACUGGGUGUAAAGGGUGUGUAGGCGGGAAGGCAAGUCGGAUGUGAAAAUUAUGGGCUCAACCCAUAAAGUGCGACCGAAACUGUUUUUCUUGAGGAUCGGAGAGGGAAUGAGAAUUCCCGGUGUAGCGGGGAAAUGCGCAGAGAUCGGGAGGAAUACCGGUGGCGAAGGCGAAUUACUGGACGAUAACUGACGCUGAGACACGAAAGCGUGGGGAGCAAACAGGAUUAGAUACCCUGGUAGUCCACGCCCUAAACGAUGAAUGCUAGGUGUAGGGGAGUCAUCUUCUGUGCCGCAGCUAACGCAAUAAGUGCUCCGCCUGGGGAGUACGCUCGCAAGAGUAAAACUCAAAUGAAUUGGCGGGG